RNAcentral lists this unclassified non-coding RNA (242 nucleotides) under Poculum sp. Its description in RNAcentral is "partial contains small subunit ribosomal RNA, internal transcribed spacer 1, and 5.8S ribosomal RNA". The record is from RNAcentral. RNAcentral also lists the same sequence under 1 other name. Lineage: Eukaryota; Fungi; Ascomycota; Leotiomycetes; Helotiales; Rutstroemiaceae.
UUUCCGUAGGUGAACCUGCGGAAGGAUCAUUACAGAGUUCAUGCCCUCACGGGUAGACCUCCCACCCUUGUGUAUCUAUACCAUGUUGCUUUGGCAGGCUGCUGGCCCCCUCGGGGGACAGCCUCAGCGCCCUCGGGCCUGAGAGUCGCCUGCCGGAGGAAAAACAAACUCUGAACUGUUAGUGUCGUCUGAGUACUAUAUUUUAAUAGUUAAAACUUUCAACAACGGAUCUCUUGGUUCUG